Molecule: ribosomal RNA, 393 nt
Filed under: uncultured bacterium
Lineage: Bacteria
Description: partial 16S ribosomal RNA
Rfam family: Bacterial small subunit ribosomal RNA
Source: RNAcentral
AUACGGAGGAUCCGAGCGUUAUCCGGAUUUAUUGGGUUUAAAGGGAGCGUAGGCGGACGCUUAAGUCAGUUGUGAAAGUUUGCGGCUCAACCGUAAAAUUGCAGUUGAUACUGGGUGUCUUGAGUACAGUAGAGGCAGGCGGAAUUCGUGGGGUAGCGGUGAAAUGCUUAGAUAUCACGAAGAACUCCGAUUGCGAAGGCAGCUCACUGGACUGUUACUGACACUGAGGCUCGAAAGUGUGGGUAUCAAACAGGAUUAGAUACCCUGGUAGUCCACACAGUAAACGAUGAAUACUCGCUGUUUGCGAUAUACAGCAAGCGGCCAAGCGAAAGCAUUAAGUAUUCCACCUGGGGAGUACGCCGGCAACGGUGAAACUCAAAUGAAUUGACGGGG